ACCCGCUGAACUUAAGCAUAUCACUAAGCGGAGGAAAAGAAACUAACUAGGAUGGCCUCAGUAACGGCGAGUGAAGCGGCCAAAGCCCAAGAUGGAAAUCUCCGUGCUGUGCACGGCGAAUUGUAAUCUAUAGGAGUCAUGCUCACCGGGUGGUGGCGCAGAAGUGCCCUGGAACGGGCCGCCAAAGAGGGUGACAGCCCCGUAUGUGGUGCCGCCGCCUAACGAGCAGGCUUUCAAAGAGUCGGGUUGUUUGGUAUUGCAGCCCUAAGUGGGAGAUAAACUUCUUCUAAGGCUAAAUAUAUGUGGGAAACCGAUAGCGAACAAGUACUGUGAAGGAAAGAUGAAAAGCACUUUGAAAAGAGAGUCAAAAGACCUGAAACCGUUGAGGAGGAAGCGGUAGAGAUGAAUUCUAAGGCGAGGCAUGGGGAAAGUGGCCUAAUCAUGGCAGGCUUGUCGUACGUCAAAGGCGGCUGUUUGUCUUAGAGGAAGCUACUUACUUAUGUUGCGUCUUGAGGCCGGAUGGGGUGACGUGACCACAGAGGCCUUUUAUAAGUCAGCAAUGAAUUAUGGGAGUGCCGGUGGACGCGUGGCCUGAGGGUGCUUUGUGCGAUCCGGCCAAAAUGGUCUUUACCGACCCGUCUUGAAACACGGACCAAGGAGUCUAACGUACGCGCGAGUGUGCCGGUGGAAAAACCGACACGCGGAAUGAAAGUGAGUGAUGCCAAGCGCAAGCAGCAGCAUCGACCGACCAGAAUUCUAGGUUUGAGUACGAGCGUGUCCGCUAGGACCCGAAAGAUGGUGAACUAUGCCUGCGUAGGGUGAAGCCAGGGGAAACUCUGGUGGAGGCUCGAAGCGAUACUGACGUGCAAAUCGUUCGUCGAACGUGGGUAUAGGGGCGAAAGACUAAUCGAACCAUCUAGUAGCUGGUUCCCUCCGAAGUUUCCCUCAGGAUAGCUGGGACAAUUGCGCAGUUUUAUUAGGUAAAGCGAAUGAUUAGAGGCCUCGGGGGCUACGUGCCCUCGACCUAUUCUCAAACUUUAAAUUGGUAAGAACCCGGGCCUUUCUUAAGUGAGGCUCCGGGGCUCAAUGCGUGUCCUAAGUGGGCCAUUUUUGGUAAGCAGAACUGGCGAUGAGGGAUGCUCCUAACGUUGUGUUAAGGCGCCAAACUACGCGCUCAUCAGAAACUACAAAGGGUGUUAGUCCAUCCAGACAGCAGGACGGUGGCCAUG
This 1229-nucleotide ribosomal RNA is filed under the name Spirostrombidium agathae. Its description in RNAcentral is "LSU rRNA". It matches the Rfam family "Eukaryotic large subunit ribosomal RNA", at positions 23 to 1256 of the family's 3401-position model. Lineage: Eukaryota; Ciliophora; Spirotrichea; Strombidiidae. The record is from RNAcentral.